GACGAACGCUGGCGGCGUGCUUAACACAUGCAAGUCGAACGGAAAGGCCCUGCUUUUGUGUGGUGCUCGAGUGGCGAACGUGUGAGUAACACGUGAGUAUCCUGCCCUUGACUUUGUGAUAACUUCAGGAAACUGGUGCUAAUACCUGAUAGGAGCUCCUGCUGCAUGGUGGGGUUUGGAAAGUUUCGGCGGUUGGGGAUCGACUCGCGGCUUAUCAGCUUGUUGGUGGGGUAGUGGCUUACCCAGGCUUUGACGGGUAGCCGGCCUGGGAGGGUGAACGGCGACAAGGGGACUGAGAUACGGACCAGACUGGUACGGGAGGCAGCAGGGGGGAAUAUUGCACAAUGGGCGGAAGCGUGAUGAAGAAACGCCGCGAGUGGGAAGACGGCCAACGGGGGGUAAACCGCAGUAGGCUGUGACGAAGCGGGAGUGACGGUAAUGGGUAAAGAAGCACCGGCUAACUACGUG
RNAcentral lists this ribosomal RNA (468 nucleotides) under uncultured bacterium. RNAcentral describes it as "partial 16S ribosomal RNA". It matches the Rfam family "Bacterial small subunit ribosomal RNA", at positions 28 to 507 of the family's 1533-position model. The record is from RNAcentral.